This 1402-nucleotide ribosomal RNA is filed under the name metagenome. RNAcentral's name for it is "SSU rRNA". It matches the Rfam family "Eukaryotic small subunit ribosomal RNA", at positions 376 to 1801 of the family's 1831-position model. The record is from RNAcentral.
UUCGAUUCCGGAGAGGGAGCCUGAGAAAUGGCUACCACAUCCAAGGAUGGCAGCAGGCGCGCAAAUUACCCACUCCCAGCUUGGGGAGGUAGUGACGAAAAAUAACAAUGCGGGACUCUAAGAGGCCCCGUAAUUGGAAUGAGUACACCUUAAAUCGUUUAACGAGUAUCAAUUGGAGGGCAAGUCUGGUGCCAGCGGCCGCGGUAAUUCCAGCUCCAAUAGCGUAUAUUAAAGUUGCUGCAGUUAAAAAGCUCGUAGUUGGAUCUGGGGCUUGAGGUCGCUGUCUAUCGUUUCGGCGAUGACGGUGAUGCUCAGCUCUGCUUGCCGGUGACUGUUGCGGUGUUCUUCACUGAGCGCUGUAGCAGCACGGCACGUUUACUUUGAAAAAAUUAGAGUGCUCAAAGCGUGCUUGUCGCUUGAAUAAUGUUGCAUGGAAUAAUGGAAUAGGACCUCGGUUCUAUUUUGUUGGUUUUCGGAGCUUGAGGUAAUGAUUAAGAGGGACGAACGGGGGCAUUCGUAUUGCGGUGUUAGAGGUGAAAUUCUUGGAUCGCCGCAAGACGGACUACUGCGAAAGCAUUUGCCAAGAACGCUUUCAUUAAUUAAGAACGAAAGUCAGAGGUUCGAAGACGAUCAGACACCGUCCUAGUUCUGACCAUAAACGAUGCCGACCAGCGAUCCGUAGUGGUUGCUUUAUGGACCCUACGGGCAGCCUCCGGGAAACCAAAGUAUUUGGGUUCCGGGGGAAGUAUGGUUGCAAAGCUGAAACUUAAAGGAAUUGACGGAAGGGCACACCAGGAGUGGAGCCUGCGGCUUAAUUUGACCCAACACGGGAAAACUCACCCGGUCCGGACACCGUAAGGAUUGACAGACUGAUAGCUCUUUCUUGAUUCGGUGGAUGGUGGUGCAUGGCCGUUCUUAGUUGGUGGAGUGAUUUGUCUGGUUAAUUCCGAUAACGAACGAGACUCUAGCCUGCUAAGUAGUGUUGCUAUUGUUAUAUGGUUGACACUUCUUAGAGGGACAAGUGGCAUUUAGCCACGCGAAAUUGAGCAAUAACAGGUCUGUGAUGCCCUUAGAUGUCCGGGGCCGCACGCGCGCUACACUGGAGAAGUCAGCGUGUGUUAUCCAAGUCCGAAAGGACUGGGUAAUCCGUUGAACCUUCUUCGUGCUUGGGACUGUGGCUUGGAACUAUUCCACAUGAACGAGGAAUUCCUAGUAAUUGCAAGUCAUAAGCUUGCGUUGAUUACGUCCCUGCCCUUUGUACACGCCGCCCGUCGCUACUACCGAUUGAAUGGUUUAGCAAGGUCCUCGGAUCGUGGCCGUAGGGGCACGCAAGUGUUUCUGCGGUUUGCGAGAAGACGACCAAACUUGAUCAUUUAGAGGAAGUAAAAGUCGUAACAAGGUU